Molecule: ribosomal RNA, 173 nt
Filed under: uncultured bacterium
Lineage: Bacteria
Description: partial 16S ribosomal RNA
Rfam family: Bacterial small subunit ribosomal RNA
Source: RNAcentral
UGGGCAACCUGCCCCAGACACAGGGAUAACCCCGGGAAACCGGGGCUAAUACCGGAUACUCCGGUCGAACCGCAUGGCUCGAUCGGGAAAGCUCCGACGGUCUGGGAUGGGCCCGCGGCCUAUCAGCUUGUUGGUGGGGUAACGGCUCACCAAGGCAACGACGGGUAGCUGGU